RNAcentral lists this unclassified non-coding RNA (414 nucleotides) under Hevea brasiliensis (rubber tree). Lineage: Eukaryota; Viridiplantae; Streptophyta; Magnoliopsida; Malpighiales; Euphorbiaceae. The record is from RNAcentral.
AAUUUUGACAUCUGGUAUGAGCAAAUGAGUUAUUCUUUUCUUCUUUUUGUGGGUUAUUCUGUGGUGUCGAUUUUGGAAUGGGUAUUUGGAGGAAGUUGAAAAGUUUCUUUUUUUUUAGAUUUGGGAAUUUUGUUUUUGUUUUGUGCAUUUUUUUCUCAGCAGCGGAUCGAACUCUUUGGUGGUCGGAUUUGCUGAGAUGCGUGCAGUUCUAUAAGAUUUUAUUAUCUGGGUUUCUUUUCUUGGAUUUUCCCAGAUUCCAAACGGAUACUUCUUUUCCCUUCUGGCAUAACUAGUUCUAUGACUAGCGAUCUAGCUUGUUGAGCCUCUAGUAAAACCUGAGAUUAUGUUUCUGCUAUUUUUCCCCCCUUAUCUUGAUCUUAGAUCUCUCUUUCUAAGGCGCAACCUUUCAUCUUA